Oryza meridionalis is the source of this 196-nucleotide non-coding RNA. NCBI's taxonomy places the organism in Eukaryota, Viridiplantae, Streptophyta, Magnoliopsida, Poales, Poaceae. The record is from Rfam.
UCACGGUGUACUCCCUAGUUUCCGUGUCCAAUAUUUGACUAUCCAUUUUAUAUGAAUUUUUUUAUAUAAUUAGUAUCUUUAUUGUUGUUAGAUGAUAAAAUAUGAUUAAUACUUUAUACUUAACUUGUCUUUUUAAUUUUUUUAAAUAAAACGGACGGUCAAACGUUGCACACGAAAAACUAGGAUUUGUCUCAUU